This is an RNA transcript of Myotis brandtii (Brandt's bat), 956 nucleotides long. RefSeq lists it as uncharacterized. The record is from RefSeq and is a predicted model, not a curated record. NCBI's taxonomy places the organism in Eukaryota, Metazoa, Chordata, Mammalia, Chiroptera, Vespertilionidae. The transcript has 3 exons.
GGCCGCCUGGAGGCCCAGAAGCGAGAGCUGCAGCAGGCGGUUCUGCAAAUGGAACAGAGGAAACAGCAGCAGCAGCAGCAGCAGCAGCAGCAAGGCCAACCAGCCCCAGCCCCUGGCCCCGAGGGACAGCUCAUGUUCCAGCCCCACAACACAGAUGACGCUCCUGUCCCAGCUCCAGCCGGGGACCAGAAGGAAGCAGUUGCUUCAGAAAAGAAGGUCCCUGAACAGCCCCCGGAGCUGCCCCCGCUGGAUGCCCAGCACCUGUGACCCUGCAGGAAGGUGGCAUCUGGGCUCCUACGGACGCAGCUGCUGGGAGGACGGGGAAGCGUCACAAUCCGCCUCCUCUGAGGACAACACGGGGCCUCCUAGGGAAGUGGGAUGAGGCGGCCCUUCCCACUUUGCUACCCAGGCCCCUAUCUGCUGCUUAGCUUCCAGCCUCCGGGUGUGUGGUCCCUGGUCUCUGUCCCCCUCCAGGGACCUGCUCCUGGUGUUCAGUGGGGGCACUCACAGGGUCAGCUAGCUUAGGGGCCGCCUCCCUCCUGGGGGGAGGGGGUCCGCCAUGUCCCUGCCUUGUAGGUGGACCGGCCUCGCUGCUCCGGGUUGGGGCCACUCCAGCAUCCUGCAUCCCACAGCUGCUGCUCUGGGCCCGUUUCUGCUGCUUUAUGGGGCGUGGGUGGUCCCUCGAGACCUUUCUCUGCCUUUUGUGGGACCAGCGAUGCCUUGAAGACUGUGUAGCCCACGGCUGGGCCGACUCCCUGACCCCUGGCUUUCAGCCUCCUCAGCCUCGGCCCCUCGCCCACUCAGCCACAGGAGGGUCCCAGAGCUGACCCCGCCCAGGAUCAGGUUCCCGCCCCUCAGCCUCCGUGGGAGGCCCAGGCCCUCCUUCCCGGCCUUAUCUCACUGCUGUGUGGCCUGCUGUGUAUCCCGCUCCAUCCAAAUACACUUCCUGGAACAAG